Molecule: ribosomal RNA, 423 nt
Filed under: uncultured bacterium
Lineage: Bacteria
Description: bacterial SSU rRNA
Rfam family: Bacterial small subunit ribosomal RNA
Source: RNAcentral
AUAUUGGACAAUGGGCGAAAGCCUGAUCCAGCCAUGCCGCGUGUGUGAAGAAGGCCUUCGGGUUGUAAAGCACUUUAAGUUGGGAGGAAAAGCGCUGCGUGAAUAAUGUAGUGCCGUGACGUUACCAACAGAAUAAGCACCGGCAAACUCCGUGCCAGCAGCCGCGGUAAUACGGAGGGUGCGAGCGUUAAUCGGAAUUACUGGGCGUAAAGCGCACGUAGGCGGCGAAGUAAGUGGGAUGUGAAACCCCUGGGCUUAACCUAGGAAUUGCAUACCAGACUGCUUGGCUAGAGUAUAGGAGAGGGAGGUGGAAUUUCCGGUGUAGCGGUGAAAUGCGUAGAGAUCGGAAGGAACAUCAGUGGCGAAGGCGGCCUCCUGGCCUAAUACUGACGCUGAGGUGCGAAAGCGUGGGGAGCAAACAGG